This 253-nucleotide ribosomal RNA is filed under the name uncultured bacterium. RNAcentral's name for it is "partial 16S ribosomal RNA". It matches the Rfam family "Bacterial small subunit ribosomal RNA", at positions 524 to 776 of the family's 1533-position model. The record is from RNAcentral.
UACAGAGGUCUCAAGCGUUGUUCGGAUUCAUUGGGCGUAAAGGGUGCGUAGGUGGCGUGGUAAGUCUGGUGUGAAAUCCCGGGGCUCAACUCCGGAACUGCACUGGAUACUGCCAUGCUUGAGUACUGGAGAGGAGAUUGGAAUUUACGGUGUAGCAGUGAAAUGCGUAGAUAUCGUAAGGAAGACCAGUGGCGAAGGCGAAUCUCUGGACAGUUACUGACACUGAGGCACGAAGGCCAGGGGAGCAAACGGG